UACGUAGGGUGCAAGCGUUAAUCGGAAUUACUGGGCGUAAAGCGUGCGCAGGCGGUUGUGUAAGACAGAUGUGAAAUCCCCGGGCUCAACCUGGGAACUGCAUUUGUGACUACACAGCUGGAGUGCGGCAGAGGGGGAUGGAAUUCCGCGUGUAGCAGUGAAAUGCGUAGAUAUGCGGAGGAACACCGAUGGCGAAGGCAAUCCCCUGGGCCUGCACUGACGCUCAUGCACGAAAGCGUGGGGAGCAAACAGG
This 253-nucleotide ribosomal RNA is filed under the name uncultured bacterium. RNAcentral's name for it is "partial 16S ribosomal RNA". It matches the Rfam family "Bacterial small subunit ribosomal RNA", at positions 524 to 776 of the family's 1533-position model. The record is from RNAcentral.